RNAcentral lists this ribosomal RNA (347 nucleotides) under uncultured bacterium. RNAcentral describes it as "bacterial SSU rRNA". It matches the Rfam family "Bacterial small subunit ribosomal RNA", at positions 28 to 355 of the family's 1533-position model. The record is from RNAcentral.
GACGAACGCUGGCGGCGUGCUUAACACAUGCAAGUCGAACGAGACGAUUGAAAGCUUGCUUUUGAAAGUCGAGUGGCAAACGGGUGAGUAACGCGUAGACAACCUGCCUUUGAGAUGGGGACAACAGUCCGAAAGGACUGCUAAUACCGAAUGUUGUGGAACUUCCGCAUGGAAGCUUCACCAAAGAUGACCUCUUCCUGAAAGUUAUCGCUCAAAGAUGGGUCUGCGUCUGAUUAGCUAGUUGGUGGGCAACGGCCUACCAAGGCGACGAUCAGUAGCCGGUCUGAGAGGAUGAACGGCCACAUUGGAACUGAGACACGGUCCAGACUCCUACGGGAGGCAGCAGU